UACGUAGGGUGCGAGCGUUAAUCGGAAUUACUGGGCGUAAAGCGUGCGCAGGCGGUUCGUUGUGUCGGCGGUGAAAGCCCCGGGCUCAACCUGGGAAUGGCCGUUGAAACUGGCGAACUGGAGUGUGGCAGAGGGGGGGUGGAAUUCCGCGUGUAGCAGUGAAAUGCGUAGAGAUGCGGAGGAACACCGAUGGCGAAGGCAGCCCCCCUGGGCUAACACUGACGCCUCAGGCACGAAAAGCGUGGGGGAGCAAACAGG
Molecule: ribosomal RNA, 258 nt
Filed under: uncultured bacterium
Lineage: Bacteria
Description: partial 16S ribosomal RNA
Rfam family: Bacterial small subunit ribosomal RNA
Source: RNAcentral